UACGUAGGGUGCGAGCGUUAAUCGGAAUUACUGGGCGUAAAGCGUGCGCAGGCGGUUUUGUAAGCCAGAUGUGAAAUCCCCGGGCUUAACCUGGGAAUGGCAUUUGGGACUGCAAGGCUCGAGUGCGGCAGAGGAGACUGGAAUUCCUGGUGUAGCAGUGAAAUGCGUAGAUAUCAGGAGGAACACCGAUGGCGAAGGCAGUUCUCUGGGCCGUAACUGACGCUGAGGAGCGAAAGCGUGGGGAGCGAACAGG
Molecule: ribosomal RNA, 253 nt
Filed under: uncultured bacterium
Lineage: Bacteria
Description: partial 16S ribosomal RNA
Rfam family: Bacterial small subunit ribosomal RNA
Source: RNAcentral